AAACGACUCUCGGCAACGGAUAUCUCGGCUCUCGCAUCGAUGAAGAACGUAGCGAAAUGCGAUACUUGGUGUGAAUUGCAGAAUCCCGUGAACCAUCGAGUCUUUGAACGCAAGUUGCGCCCAAAGUCCUCGGGCUGAGGGCACGUCUGCCUGGG
Molecule: ribosomal RNA, 155 nt
Filed under: Cathetus myrtifolius
Lineage: Eukaryota; Viridiplantae; Streptophyta; Magnoliopsida; Malpighiales; Phyllanthaceae
Description: Phyllanthus myrtifolius 5.8S ribosomal RNA
Rfam family: 5.8S ribosomal RNA
About the family: 5.8S ribosomal RNA (5.8S rRNA) is a component of the large subunit of the eukaryotic ribosome. It is transcribed by RNA polymerase I as part of the 45S precursor that also contains 18S and 28S rRNA. Functionally, it is thought that 5.8S rRNA may be involved in ribosome translocation.
Source: RNAcentral